UCGAGAAUCUUUCGCAAUGGGCGAAAGCCUGACGAAGCGACGCCGUGUGAGCGAAGAAGGCCUUCGGGUUGUAAAGCUCUUUCGCCUACGAACAAGAGAGGUAGAAUAACACUCUGCCAAUUUGAUAGUACUAGGUAAAGAAGCACCGGCUAACUCCGUGCCAGCAGCUGCGGUAAUACGGAGGGUGCAAGCAUUGAUCGGAAUUACUGGGCGUAAAGGGCGCGUAGGCGGCUUGGUAAGUCAGAUGUGAAAUUCCGGGGCUCAACUCCGGAACGGCAUUUGAAACUACCAAACUAGAGGAUAGUUAGGGAAAACGGAAUUCCACGUGUAGCGGUGAAAUGCGUAGAUAUGUGGAAGAACACCAGUGGUGAAGACGGUUUUCUGGGCUAUUUCUGACGCUGAGGCGCGAAAGCUAGGGGAGCAAACAGG
Molecule: ribosomal RNA, 429 nt
Filed under: uncultured bacterium
Lineage: Bacteria
Description: bacterial SSU rRNA
Rfam family: Bacterial small subunit ribosomal RNA
Source: RNAcentral